RNAcentral lists this ribosomal RNA (157 nucleotides) under uncultured bacterium. Its description in RNAcentral is "partial 16S ribosomal RNA". It matches the Rfam family "Bacterial small subunit ribosomal RNA", at positions 1344 to 1500 of the family's 1533-position model. The record is from RNAcentral.
GCAGGUCAGCAUACUGCCGUGAAUACGUUCCCGGGCCCUUGUACACACCGCCCGUCACGCCAUGAGAGUUGGGAAUACCCGAAGCCUGUGAGCUAACAUUAAGAGGCAGCAGUCGAAGGUAGAAUCAAUGAUUGGGGUGAAGUCGUAACAAGGUAAC